UACCUUCUUGGUCUUUGAAGCCUCUCUCCU
RNAcentral lists this non-coding RNA (30 nucleotides) under Rattus norvegicus (Norway rat). Lineage: Eukaryota; Metazoa; Chordata; Mammalia; Rodentia; Muridae. The record is from RNAcentral.